This 380-nucleotide ribosomal RNA is filed under the name uncultured bacterium. Its description in RNAcentral is "bacterial SSU rRNA". It matches the Rfam family "Bacterial small subunit ribosomal RNA", at positions 427 to 793 of the family's 1533-position model. The record is from RNAcentral.
AAAGCACUUUCAGCGAGGAGGAAGGGUAGUGUGUUAAUAGCACAUUGCAUUGACGUUACUCGCAGAAGAAGCACCGGCUAACUCCGUGCCAGCAGCCGCGGUAAUACGGAGGGUGCAAGCGUUAAUCGGAAUUACUAGGGCGUAAAGCGCACGCAGGCGGUUUGUUAAGUCAGAUGUGAAAUCCCCGCGCUUAACGUGGGAACUGCAUUUGAAACUGGCAAGCUAGAGUCUUGUAGGAGGGGGUAGAAUUCCAGGUGUAGCGGUGAAAUGCGUAGAGAUCUGGAGGAAUACCGGUGGCGAAGGCGGCCCCCUGGACAAAGACUGACGCUCAGGUGCGAAAGACGUGGGGAGGACAAACCAAGGAUUAGAUACCCUCGGAG